CAUUUUCAUCUUUGUGUCCUUAGUACCUGCCACGGUUCCUCGUACCUAAUUGAAUUUCAGUCCUGUGCCAUGGAAGCCUUGAAUUCCAGCGCCCAUUACUUCUUCUGCUGCCAGUGGCUCCCAUUUGUGUUCUCUCCUGUGGCAUCAGAUUUGAUGCAGAAAUGGGAUACCUGUGUACUCAUCAGCUCCUAUUCCUCCAGCUCGACCAAAGUUCUUUUAGCAGUAAAAACCAGUAUGCAAAGAAGAGGAGGGAGAGAUGGACCCAUCAAGCCCUCCUGGGCUCAGAAUAUGUAUGUGUGUGCGCACAUACACAGGUGCAUGUAGCUUUGCAAUAUAAGAUUAAACUGUACACUGUUCUAUAAUCUCCAUUUUUCCAUUCACUGUAUCAUGAACAUCUUCCAAAUCACCAUGUAGUUUUGUAUGACACACAUUUUGAUGACUGAAUAGUAAUGUAUUCUGCACAAUUUGUGUUACCAAAUCUUUACUGAUGGACACAAGUUAUUUAGAGUUUUGAUCAUUAGACACAUAGUUUUAAUAAACAUUCGUAUAUCUUUGCA
RNAcentral lists this long non-coding RNA (557 nucleotides) under Pongo abelii (Sumatran orangutan). RNAcentral describes it as "lincRNA". The record is from RNAcentral. Lineage: Eukaryota; Metazoa; Chordata; Mammalia; Primates; Hominidae.